Non-coding RNA from Pelobates cultripes (western spadefoot toad), 899 nucleotides. The record is from the annotation of a GenBank genome assembly. Lineage: Eukaryota; Metazoa; Chordata; Amphibia; Anura; Pelobatidae.
GGCAGAAACAACAACAACAACAAAAAAAGACAUUUUCCAGUUUUUUUAAAUAAGGGUUAACAAAAGCAAAUAGAUUUCUUCUAGAUCAAUGCCACAGAAACUACUCUGCAUUACAUUAUUUUAUCCCUUAAUGGGUCUAUGGUUAGGAAGGCAUCCUAUAUAUUUCUUUGAAAGCACUGACUGAAAUAACCACAACUUAAUUUGCAAGUGAAUUACACACCUUUACUGUCCUAACUGUAAAACAAAUAAACAUAUCUUUCUUCAACAUGCAAUGUUGUUUUAUCUAACCUUGUAGAAUGUUCCAAUAUCCUCUAUACAUUUCUAAUGCAUGAAGAGACUUGUACUGACCUUGAAUAUACUUUGUAUACAGUAAUCACAUUCUCAUAUUCAUUUCAUCAUCAUUGUAGACAAGCUCAAUUUGAAAAAUCUUUUCUUCAAAGAUGAAAUCUAUUCCUUUAUUUAACGUGAAAAUCUCAUUCCUUUCCAUUUUCAGUAAAUUAAAAUAAUGGUAUUUGGAAGUAUUAGGUUAAACCAGUUUAUGCAAAGAACAUUUUUUUAGUGACUAUGAUGCUUCUACCAGAUCUCUUUUAGAAAAUUAAGUCUUGGCAUUCGGAGAGUCACGUAUCUCUCCAUUCUUCAUUUUAAUGCCACCCUUUGUUCAUUUAUUCUAUAACAAGCCCAACUCUACAUAUACGUUUUUUAAGUAUAUGUAGAAUUUCAAAACGUAGGCCAAAAUAGCCUAUGCAUAUAGUGUUACCAAGUAAGUAACCAAAGGACUUUGAUUUUCUUUUUUGCAGGGGUGAAUCGGGGUUGCGGUACUAAGAUUUUUUUCAGGGGAUCUUCCCUGGAGUUGUUUUUUUUAUUAUUGAUCAGCAAUACAAUCCGUUCUGAAACGGUUU